AUUGAACGCUGGCGGCAGGCCUAACACAUGCAAGUCGAACGAGUGGCGGACGGGUGAGUAAUGUCUGGGAAACUGCCUGGUGGAGGGGGAUAACUACUGGAAACGGUAGCUAAUACCGCAUACUAUCGGAUGUGCCCAGAUGGGAUUAGCUAGUAGGUGGGGUAAAGGCUCACCUAGGCGACGAUCCCUAGCUGGUCUGAGAGGAUGACCAGCCAACCUGGAACUGAGAAACGGUCCAGACUCCUAAGGGAGGCAGCAGGGGGGAAUAUUGGACAAUGGGGGCAAGCCUGAUGCAGCCCUGCCGCGUGUAUGAAGAAGGCCUUCGGGUUGUAAAGGACUUUCAGCGGGGAGGCGUUACCCGCAGAAGAAGCACCGGCUAACUCCGUGCCAGGAGGCGCGGUAAUAC
Molecule: ribosomal RNA, 406 nt
Filed under: uncultured bacterium
Lineage: Bacteria
Description: partial 16S ribosomal RNA
Rfam family: Bacterial small subunit ribosomal RNA
Source: RNAcentral